This 415-nucleotide long non-coding RNA is filed under the name Lactuca sativa (garden lettuce). RNAcentral's name for it is "long non-coding RNA (LSAT_LNC001531)". Lineage: Eukaryota; Viridiplantae; Streptophyta; Magnoliopsida; Asterales; Asteraceae. The record is from RNAcentral.
UUGGCUCCAGCCAGUAGAUAUUCGGAUCAUCUAUGGCUUCUUUCUGAAUACGCUCAUGAGACCAAGCUACAAACAAAGAUUUCUGAGUUUCAAGGACUAGUUUUGCAUUCUUGGCCUCACCUAUCUUUGAUAGAGCAUCCUUCACUACUUUCAAGGAUAAACGAAAUCCUUCUAUCACCUUGUUCAUGUCAGCUGUGUUUUUAUCCGAAGAGUUUUGGAAAUCAUUCAUGAAUGUUUGCACUUCUUCAUGUAGUUUUUCUACUUUUUUGGUCACUUCAACAAUCCUCUUUUUAGAAUCAUGGAUGGCCAUGGAGGAUUCUUCAAUGAGUUUCACAUUCGUAGAGGUAAGCAUCUCAACAGUGGCCUUAUGAGUGGUGAGCAGAUUCUCCCACUUUGUCAAAGAUAAUGCAUUUAA